Lontra canadensis (Northern American river otter) is the source of this 1295-nucleotide long non-coding RNA. RefSeq lists it as uncharacterized. The transcript has 2 exons. NCBI's taxonomy places the organism in Eukaryota, Metazoa, Chordata, Mammalia, Carnivora, Mustelidae. The record is from RefSeq and is a predicted model, not a curated record.
GUGUGGCGGCAUUCACUGUGGUCUGUUUCCUCCUCUGAUCCCUUCCCCUCCACUGCUGGUUCCUUCUAGCUCCUUCCUCUAAAGCCGGAAUGAACUUUUAUUGGAAGGGAGGAACCCAGGUGUUAGGGACAGACCUCACCCUAAAGACAGGGAAGCCUCAGAACAAGAAGCGGGUGAAAGGGAAUGCCAGAUCCUUGUCCAAAACCAGCCCGCAGAAGCCUGGGGUGGGGGGAGCAGCCCCUGCCUCUCUGUGAGGGGCUGUCGCUUGGUGGGCAGAGCCCAGAGGCUUUUCACCCAAGCACAGAGCUCGUGGGCUUAGACCCUGACGCGGGAGGUCAACCCUCCGGUGCCCUCCUGCUGAGGGCUUCUCGCCGUCUUGGGGAAUGCGGAUCUGCCUAUUAGAUGGCAGGUGUUGGCUCACCUGAGCUGCCCCCAGAGCUGGGCUGAGGACAGGGGCAGUGAGGUUCCCCGGGGUCCCCUCCCCAGGCCCAAGUCCAUGAGCUACAGCUCCCAAGAUGCAGACAGGAGGAAGUCGAGUGCUCUCGAUCCAAUGGGGCCCGGCCUUUGGGGCUGGGGGCCAUCACGUGCCUUGCAGCCCCUUAGUCCCCAGGGGCAGAGACAGGAGAAGCUGUCAGAGCCAGGAAGUGUGCGUGCGAAUAUCACUCGCUUCUGGUGUCACCCUUACCCCCACCCCCACCGCUGCUUGCCGCCUGCCCUGCCCUCUGCAGUAGAGGGGGGUGGCAGUCAUGCCCAGUGUUGCUGCAGUGUCAUGGAGCCAUGGCCGCGGUGCACCGGCCUUAGGACAAGAGAAGGGGGAGCAACCAGGCCGGGGGCUGAGGGCCAAGUGACUGCCAUGCUCCCCUCCCCCAGAACUGCCCAGCCUGGGGCCGCCUCCACUCUCCGGGUGGGAGAAAGGUGUUCUCAAGAGGAGGGCGAGCCCUGGGCCGGAGAAGCAUUUUUCCUCCUCCAACCACCUUCUGACUGGCGGUGCCCCCCUCAGGGACAGGUCCCCGGCUCGCUGACCUGUCCCCACCUCUGCACUGACCUUGGCGACAUGCUGAGGCCCAGCGUGGUGUUCUCUCUCAUCUGAAUCAACGGUGACAUGUGAUUUUUAUUUCUGCCCCGAGGGGUCAGGAAGAGUCUUCUGGAAGGUUUUGCCUUGGACAUUCAUAAUCGAGCUCAGAGGCCUUGCCCUGCCCUUCCGUCCCUGCCCCCAAUCACUGCAGUGUCCAGCCCAGUGUUGAACAGAUUGUAGUGUUUUGUCUCAUUACAAAUAAACAGACUUUAAUUGGUCA